Molecule: long non-coding RNA, 1732 nt
Filed under: Canis lupus familiaris (dog)
Lineage: Eukaryota; Metazoa; Chordata; Mammalia; Carnivora; Canidae
Description: lncRNA (ENSCAFG00845015967.1)
Source: RNAcentral
UUUUCUUUCUGAGUCUGUCAUUUAUUUCCCUUAAACUUUCCUCAUGGUCUUUAAUCUUUUUCUUUUUCCUCAGCUUCCUUCCGUGGCACCAACUUGUCUUCUAUCUCACUCACUCUUUCUUCUACUUCAUUAACCCUCAUCAUUAGGACCUCCAGUUUGUAUUGCAUCUCAUUUAUUUUUAUUUUUUAAAGAUUUUAUUUAUUUAUUCAUAGACACAGAUAGAGAGGGGCAGAGACACAGACAGAGGGAGAAGCAGGCUCCACGCAGGGAGCCCGAUGUGGAACUCGAUCUCGGGUCUCCAGGAUCACACCCCAGGCUGCAGGUGACGCCAAACCGCUGCGCCACCAGGGCUGCCCUGCAUCUCAUUUAAUUGAUUUUUAAUUUAGGCCUGAUUAGAUCUAAAUUCUGUAGUCAUGAAGUGUCUUGCAUCCUUUAUGCUUUUUUCCAGAGUCACCAGUAGCUUUAUAAUUGUGCUUCUGAAUUGGCUUUCUGACAUUGAAUUGUAACAGAAAUUCUGUAACUCUGUGGCAGAGAGGACUGUUUCUGAUUCUUUCUUUUGUGGUCAGUUCUUCUUUCUAGUCAAUUUGCUCAGUGCAGAGUGGCUAAAAACGAGUUGUACUUCUUAGAAGCACAAACUCCUCUCUGUAGCUUUCCAGCCAUUCUCUCUUUAUAUCUCAGGUCGGAUUCAUAGGUUUUCAGGAUGAUUUGAAAGUUAUCUAGGUAAGUUGGUGGGACAGGUAACUCUAGGGACCCUACUCCUCUGCCGUCUUGCCCCGCCCCCUCCUGUGUGUUUUGAUUGGAGCAUUUAGUCUAUUUACAUUCAAGUACAUUAAUAUGUAUUUUUUGCCAUUUUGUGACUUCUUUUGUGCUUGUUUUUUCUAGUUUUUCUCUGCCCCUUUCUUCUCUUUCUCAUUUUCAUUGUGCUGGUUUUCUUUAGUGAUAUACUAGAAUUUCUUACUCUUUAUUUUUUGCAUAUCCAUUACAGUUUUUUGAUUUGUGGUUACCAUUUGGUUUCUAUAUAAUGGCUUUUGCACAUAGCAGUCUAUAUAAUGCUGAUGGUUGCUUAAUGUUGAACUCAUUCUUUACUCCUCUCUUCUCCAUAUUUCAGAUAUUAUCAUAAUUUGCAUCCUUUUAUUUUGUGCUUGACUGAUUUUUACAAAUAUAUUUAGGUUUUUUUGUUUGUUUGUUUGUUUGUUUGUUUUUGUUUUUUGCAUUUAUGUUUCUUAUUUUUCUUACCCUCACUUUUGGUUUUUGGCUUCCAUGCAGAGUUCCCCUUGACGUUUCUUAUAGGGCUGGUUUAGUGAUCAUGAAUUCUUUCAAAUUUUGUUUUUCUAAGAAACUCUUUAUUUUUCCUUCUAUUCUGAAUGAUGGCCUUGUUGACUAGAAUAUUCCUGGCUGCAGAUUUUUCCAUUUAGCAGUUUGUAUACAUCAUACCACUUUGUUCUGCAAAGUUUCUGUUAAAAAAUCAUAUGAUAUCCUUAUGGGGUUUCUUUUGUAUAUAACUGUCUUCUCAUCUCUUGUAACCUUUAAAAUUCUUUAUCACUAUUUUUUUUGCCAUUUUAAUUACUGUAUGUCUUGGUAUGGCCCUCUUUUUGUUGAAUUUGGUGGGGGAUCUCUGUUUCUCCUGAAUCUGGUUCUCUGUUUCCCUCCCCAUAUUCAGCAAGUUUUCACCUAUUAUUUCUUUAAAUACAUUUUCUACACACUUUUGUCUCUUUUCUCCUUCUGGAAUGCC